Molecule: long non-coding RNA, 1613 nt
Organism: Raphanus sativus (radish)
Lineage: Eukaryota; Viridiplantae; Streptophyta; Magnoliopsida; Brassicales; Brassicaceae
Exons: 3
Source: RefSeq, a predicted model, not a curated record
UUUUUCUUUUACUCUCAGUUAAUUCCAUACUUCCUCCUUUGUUAAGAAAAUUCAUGAUUUUUCCGUAACCCAUUGUUGGCCCUUUAUAUGCAGGGAGAAAUUUGGACUAAUGGGUUUACUGAUGGGAGGUGAUCGGAGAUAUCCUCGUUCUCAGAGGAAGACAACAUAUUCUGCAAGAAAAUAACAAUAACGGGAAGCUUAAGGAACUGAUUACAGCGUUAAGAAAGAAUAGGUUACAGUUUAAAGGUCAUAUCCAGAGUAUAUGGUUCGAAUUUGAUGGCUUACUAAAAAAAUUUGAUGGCAUCAGUUUAAAGGUCAUAUACAGAUAUAGAUGUAUCACUUGGAAAGAUAGUUGUGUCGAAUAAAAUAUAAGGAGAAGUUAUAUUAUAAGUAAAUGUUCUUAGCGUAGUAGCACAAUCUCUCCCUCCCUCUUGCCUCUGACUAUAAGAAAGUGUUCUUCUUUGUUUAUGUUGUGUUGGUUGUUUCAAAAUAUAUGUAUCUCUAAAUCUAUCAUUAAUAUUGCUGAUUUUGGACUGGCAGAGAGGUUAAUCUUAUUUUACAUUGAGUAUGCAGUUAUACGCUGGUUAAGAUUUGAUUCCUUUUUUGUGUAACAAUGUCUCUUUCAGAAUAUCAAUAUACAUGUAUAUUUGUACUUAAGUGACCCAUAUGUCGAUUAGUCAAAUCGACAAACCAUUAAAAGUUGGUUAGUAUCAAUUUGUGUGGUACUCCUUCAGGUGCAAUCAUUCUCGGACCCCAAUAUUUUACCCUUUUUCAUGAUCUUUCAGUGGCUCUGCUCUAGGAUCCAUGCAACAGACCGGCUUCUGCAGGGGCUCUGUACGUCCCGUUCUUUCUGGUACACCAGAGAGUAGUUGUUCGAGGCUAUGGCUCUUACCGUUCCUGUCUUAGAAGACUGAUGGCUAUUCAUAGUUUACAUUUUAUUCAUUUUAAAAUCACUAAUGAGCUCCAUUGACUGUAUUUUCGUAGAUUCAGCCCCAAGUGUGACACGUUAUAUUCCAAACGAGGGUCUACCAAUGGGAUAGGCAAUCUGGGGAUAGGUGUUGUAGUCGGAUCUUUCAAAUAGUUUUGAGUCUAGAGCAGAGUGAUAUGUGGCCACAAUAGCUUUUUCUUAUUCAUCUGGAAAACCAACCUGGUUAAGCCAAGGAAGAAGGCCAAAAAGAAAAUGAAAAGACAUAUUAGGGCAUAUCAAAGCAUAAUCUUUGAUCUUUUUUGGUAAACAUGUUAAGGCAUAAUCUUUGAUCUUUCAGAACCAGAAGUUAUCCCUCAAGAAUCCCACCAAGAGCCUCAUGCCUCCACUGGAAUCCUUUUUGUACGUGUCCUUUCCUGAAGAACUAUUAAAGACUCAAGAGAGAGAGAGAGAGAGAGAGAGAGAGAGAGAGAGAGAGAGAGAGAGAGAGAGAGAGAGAGAGAGAGAGCAAGAGACGUGUGUGCAGGUAAAAAGAAAGAUCAAGUUGCAUACAUUAAACUGCAUUAAAGUAAGGUUAAAUGCUUCUACCGGUAAUAUUUAAUUUUCCUUUUGUGUUGUUUUUAUUCUGGAUGAAGAAUAGAGAGCUCCAUCAAUAGUUGUUUUGUAAGAAAAUAGAUUCGGUUAGAAA